CCUCAUCUGGGGAAUAACACCGCUUCGUUAAAUUUCAAAGGAAUUGACUCCGACCCACACCCUUAAUGGAUUGAGUGAUUUAAUUAGAAGAUACGCGCAGAACCUUACCAAACCUUGACAUGUUCGUCGCGACUUUAAGAGAUUAAAGUUUUCGGUUCGGCCGGACGAAACACAGGUGCUGCAUGGCUGUCGUCAGCUCGUGUCGUGAGAUGUUGGGUUAAGUCCCGCAACGAGCGCAACCCUCACUUUUAGUUGCCAUCAUUUAGUUGGGCACUCUGAAAGAACUGCCAGUGAUAAGCUGGAGGAAGGUGGGGAUGACGUCAAGUCCUCAUGGCCCUUACGUGUUGGGCUACACACGUGCUACAAUGGUAUUUACAACAGGAAGCAAGACGGCGACGUUAAGCAAAUCCUUAAAAAAUACCUCAGUUCGGAUUGCACUCUGCAACUCGAGUGCAUGAAGCUGGAAUUACUAGUAAUCGUGGAUCAGCGUGCCACGGUGAAUGCGUUCCCGGGUCUUGUACACACCGCCCGUCACACCAUGGGAGUUGGUUCUACCUUAAGGCAAGGUUUAAUACCCUUGACCACGGUAUAAUCAGCGACUGGGGUGAAGUCGUAACAAGGUAGCCGUAGGGGAACCUGCGGCUGGAUUACCUCCUUUCUAAGGAUGGAUGAAAUAAGAUUAUUUCAUUCUAAAUAAUAUACAUCGGUAAUGUGACCGUCCUCAUUUCUCUUCUUAAACAUUUAAAGUGUUACUUUACCGUAAUGGGCCGGUAGCUCAGUUGGUUAGAGCACACCCUUGAUAAGGGUGGGGUCGAAAGUUCGAGUCUUUCUCGGCCCACCAAAUAAAAAUUAAGGGGGAUUAGCUCAGCUGGGAGAGCGCCUGAUUUGCAUUCAGGAGGUCAGCGGUUCGAUCCCGCUAUCCUCCACCAAACACUUAGUUAUAAUAAAUUGUGAAUAAAUAAUAAUUAAUAUCAAUAUCUAUAUCCGAACAUUAGUAAUGUUAUUAGCUAAUGUUCAAAACAAAAAUUUGAUUCAACACAGAAUUUUUUUCUG
Molecule: small RNA, 1053 nt
Filed under: uncultured Pelagibacterales bacterium
Lineage: Bacteria; Pseudomonadati; Pseudomonadota; Alphaproteobacteria; Candidatus Pelagibacterales
Description: bacterial SSU rRNA
Rfam family: Bacterial small subunit ribosomal RNA (bases 1-658)
Source: RNAcentral